This 361-nucleotide ribosomal RNA is filed under the name Phlebotomus sergenti. RNAcentral's name for it is "partial 12S ribosomal RNA". The record is from RNAcentral. Lineage: Eukaryota; Metazoa; Arthropoda; Insecta; Diptera; Psychodidae.
AUUAUUAAAAUAUAGGUUUGUAUUUCUUGAUUAUUAGUAAAUAUAUUUAUGAAAUUAAAAUAAUUUGGCGGUAUUUUAGUCUAUUCAGAGGAACUUGUUUUAUAAUCGAUAAUCCUCGUUAUAUCUUACUUAUUUUAUUUAAUUUGUAUAUCGUUGUCAUUAGAAUAUUUUAUGAGAAAAAUAAUUUUCUUUAAUUUAUAAAAAAUUGUAUGUCAAAUCAAGGUGCAGUUUAUAUUUAAGUAGAAAUGAGUUACAUUAGAAUUUAAUUAAAUGAAUAAAUAAUUGAAAUAUUAUUUUGAAGGUGGAUUUGAUAGUAAAUUUAUAAAUAAAAUUAAUUUGAAUUUAGCUCUAAAAUAUGCAC